RNAcentral lists this ribosomal RNA (274 nucleotides) under uncultured bacterium. RNAcentral's name for it is "partial 16S ribosomal RNA". It matches the Rfam family "Bacterial small subunit ribosomal RNA", at positions 523 to 796 of the family's 1533-position model. The record is from RNAcentral.
AUACGGAGGGGGCUAGCGUUGUUCGGAAUUACUGGGCGUAAAGCGCACGUAGGCGGAUUAAAAAGUUAGAGGUGAAAUCCCAGGGCUUAACCCUGGAACUGCCUUUAAAACUAGUAGUCUAGAGUUCGAGAGAGGUGAGUGGAAUUCCAAGUGUAGAGGUGAAAUUCGUAGAUAUUUGGAGGAACACCAGUGGCGAAGGCGGCUCACUGGCUCGAUACUGACGCUGAGGUGCGAAAGCGUGGGGAGCAAACAGGAUUAGAAACCCUGGUAGUCC